CAGGCCUAACACAUGCAAGUCGAACGGUUUCGAGUACUUGUACUUCACAUAUUGGCAAACGGGUGAGUAUUGCCUAUGAAUCUGCCGAUUAAUGGGGGACAACGUUUCCAAAGGAACGCUAAUACCGCAUACGCCCUACGGGGGAAAACAGGGGAUCACUUGUGACCUUCCGUUAAUUGAUGAGCCUACGUCAGAUUAGCUAGUUGGUGAGGUAAAGGCUCACCAACGCGACGAUCUGUAGCGGGUCUGAUAGGAUGAUCCGCCACACUGGAACUGACACACGGUCCAUACUCCUACGGGAGGCAGCAGUGGGGAAUAUUGGACAAUGGGGGCAACCCUGAUCCAUCCAUGCCGCGUGAGUGAUGAAGGCCCUACGGUUGUAAAGCUCUUUCACCGGUGAAGAUAAUGACCGUAACCGGAGAAGAAGCCCCGGCUAACUUCGUGCCAGCAGCCGCGGUAAU
RNAcentral lists this ribosomal RNA (461 nucleotides) under uncultured bacterium. RNAcentral describes it as "bacterial SSU rRNA". It matches the Rfam family "Bacterial small subunit ribosomal RNA", at positions 43 to 524 of the family's 1533-position model. The record is from RNAcentral.